Molecule: ribosomal RNA, 536 nt
Filed under: Botryobasidium subcoronatum
Lineage: Eukaryota; Fungi; Basidiomycota; Agaricomycetes; Cantharellales; Botryobasidiaceae
Description: 18S ribosomal RNA
Rfam family: Bacterial small subunit ribosomal RNA
Source: RNAcentral
CAGCAGUCAAGAAUAUUAGUCAAUGCUCGCAAGAGUGAACAAGCUAACUGGAAUCACUUCUAGAUAAGUGAUAAUGUAAGGGAGGAUAAUGACGUUACCUUACGAUUAGUGUCGUCUAAAGCUGGUGCCAGAAGACUCGGUAAGACCAGAGACACAAACGUUAGUCGUCUUAAAUGGGCAUAAAGGGUUUGUAGGCGGCUUUCUAGCGGGAAAGAAAGCUAGAAUCUAAUAGAGGUUGAGAUAAUACUUAGAGUAAAGCUGAAAUCUAUAAAUACUAAGGGGAAUACUCGAGGCGAAGGCUCUCUUCCAGGUAAAGAUUGACGCUGAGACACGAAGGUGAGGAAAGGAAAUAGGAUUAGAUACCCUGGUACCCCUCACUGUCAACGAUGAAUGGUAGGUGUUAGUUUAAUUAUUAGUGCCGAUGUGAAUACGUUAACCAUUCCGCCUUGUUAGUAUACUUGCAAAGGUGAAAACAAAAAAAUUAGUCGGUCCUAAAGCAAACGAAGUGAAGCAUGUUAUUUAAUUCGAUAAUCCGC